Molecule: long non-coding RNA, 1887 nt
Filed under: Lynx pardinus (Iberian lynx)
Lineage: Eukaryota; Metazoa; Chordata; Mammalia; Carnivora; Felidae
Source: RNAcentral
AAUAAGAAAAAGAGUGAUAACUCUCUGAAUUCCUGGACGUUUACAUCUGAAGUGAAGGAUCUUCCCCCUCCAACAAAUGUCAUGUUAAAAGUUAUGACUAAUAAAGUUUGAUUUCAAAAUUAUAUGACAUAAUGACAUUUUUUUUCCCUUAUAUCCUGAAAGUCAAUAAUAGGCGGGGCUUUGUCUCUGUCAAUACUCAGUUUUGUAAGCUGCAUCUAGAUAGAUGCCCAGAAGGGCUGCCUGCAGCCUGGUACGCUUUUUCUCAGGGUGCUGCUGAUGUGAGUUACCAGCUUCUACCCCGCGAGCAAGCCAUUGUCAGUGUUUCCUCGGACCCUGGAGAUGCUGGUCGUGGCUAUUUGAAUAGGGCUAACGUUUGUCAGGUAUAACAGAUUGUUCAAAUGUAUCUGACUUUGAGUUUAACUCUUUUAAGUUUAACUUCAUCUGGGCAAUAGAAAGUCAGACAUUUUAAGUAAUGUCAAAUGUAAUCAAGAAUUAAAUGUGUUGGUUUAAUUUUCUUUGACCUCUAGCUGCCUUUCAUUCACAGAAAAAGAUUACUAAUACUUCAGAUAGUUAUUGUUAUAGAAGGAGGAAGAUUUUAUACUUUUUCUAGGCAAAAGUUUACUUUUGUCCACUCCUACCAGUUUCUGUAUUUAUCGGUUGUAUGACAAUUUUUUAUUUUUUGGUUGGGGUUUAAAUUUAGUUGAAGUAACCAGCUUAAUUACUCAGUAGUCUUAGUCUACUUAGCUUUAUAUCUUUUUCUGACUUAGUAAUAUUAGUAUUUUUCCCAGAUUUUUUAUUAUGAAAAAUGUCAAACAUAAGGUAGUUAUCUUGCAGAAUAGCCUAAAUUUUGGAUUUGUCUGAGUCCUUCAUGAUUAAUACAAGAACUUUUAAUCAUAGUAGUCUUCAGUUUUUAGGUCCAUUUGCUGAAAAUAAUUUUUAUACUUGUGUCAUGGCACUUAAUAAUUACUAAUAUUGACCUAAUUCCAUUUCAUUCUGUUACUGAAUAUGAUCUUAGUAGAGAGAUCCUAUAAGUAAGGGUUCUGAGAAUGGGAUCCUAAUUUUUAGAAGAUCUGUGUUCUCUCUGUUUCUAACAGAUUUCUUCUGUGGCCUUGAAUGCAUUAUACAACCAUUCCACCUGUGCUAUAUAAAACACACAGAAUUGCUUACCUUUUAAAACAAUUUAGUGGAUUUAAUGACUGAUGUUUAUAAAGCCCAUAGAAUAUGUUAAAAUAUAGCUAAGAUGGUAAUAAUUAGAGAAAUGAUUAUGGUAUUUUUUGGUCCUUUCAAAUAAGCUUUCAUUUAGUUUAAGUGUUGUAUCUUCAGCAGGCAUUUCUGUCUCAGAUCUGAAGCAAAGGGACACUAACCUUAAAUGCCUACCUACUGUGUGGUAAGCAUUGGGCUAGAGUCUUCAAAUGCAUCUCCUCAUUUAAUUUUUAAGCCUCCAUCUAACCUGUGAAAUAUGUGAAUUCUUAUUUCCAUUUUAUAGACCAGGAAACCCAGGGUCAGAGUGGUUUGGUAACUUGCUGUGUACUAUAAACCUAGUAAGUGCUGCAAUCAGGCUGUGAGCCUGGAGCUUUGUACAUUUGUGAGUUGAGCUUUAUUAUGAGAACUUUUCUAAAUACUUCUGAAAUGUCACAUACAUUGAGGAAAAUCUCUCCCCCCAAAUUUGGUAGCUACUAGUGAAGAAUUUAUACCAUCUUUUUCUGACCAGAAACAUUUAAUAUACAGAGUGUUAAGUAUAUUAAUUUUCCCAUUACAGUAUGUCUCCUGUCACUGAUUAUAUUCUAGGAUGUUGGCAAAGGAUGAACUGAUGACCAUACUUCAGAAAUGUUUCAAGGUUUUUAAGUCCUCUUCUGAAAAGCAGCUUGGGAGCACAGCAAAGAGAAU